RNAcentral lists this ribosomal RNA (1372 nucleotides) under uncultured bacterium. RNAcentral's name for it is "bacterial SSU rRNA". It matches the Rfam family "Bacterial small subunit ribosomal RNA", at positions 28 to 1381 of the family's 1533-position model. The record is from RNAcentral.
GAUGAACGCUGGCGGCGUGCCUAAUACAUGCAAGUCGAGCGAACGGACGAGAAGCUUGCUUUUCUGAUGUUAGCGGCGGACGGGUGAGUAACACGUGGAUAACCUACCUAUAAGACUGGGAUAACUUCGGGAAACCGGAGCUAAUACCGGAUAAUAUUUUGAACCGCAUGGUUCAAAAGUGAAAGACGGUCUUGCUGUCACUUAUAGAUGGAUCCGCGCUGCAUUAGCUAGUUGGUAAGGUAACGGCUUACCAAGGCAACGAUGCAUAGCCGACCUGAGAGGGUGAUCGGCCACACUGGGACUGAGACACGGUCCAGACUCCUACGGGAGGCAGCAGUAGGGAAUCUUCCGCAAUGGGCGAAAGCCUGACGGAGCAACGCCGCGUGAGUGAUGAAGGUCUUCGGAUCGUAAAACUCUGUUAUUAGGGAAGAACAUAUGUGUAAGUAACUGUGCACAUCUUGACGGUACCUAAUCAGAAAGCCACGGCUAACUACGUGCCAGCAGCCGCGGUAAUACGUAGGUGGCAAGCGUUAUCCGGAAUUAUUGGGCGUAAAGCGCGCGUAGGCGGUUUUUUAAGUCUGAUGUGAAAGCCCACGGCUCAACCGUGGAGGGUCAUUGGAAACUGGAAAACUUGAGUGCAGAAGAGGAAAGUGGAAUUCCAUGUGUAGCGGUGAAAUGCGCAGAGAUAUGGAGGAACACCAGUGGCGAAGGCGACUUUCUGGUCUGUAACUGACGCUGAUGUGCGAAAGCGUGGGGAUCAAACAGGAUUAGAUACCCUGGUAGUCCACGCCGUAAACGAUGAGUGCUAAGUGUUAGGGGGUUUCCGCCCCUUAGUGCUGCAGCUAACGCAUUAAGCACUCCGCCUGGGGAGUACGACCGCAAGGUUGAAACUCAAAGGAAUUGACGGGGACCCGCACAAGCGGUGGAGCAUGUGGUUUAAUUCGAAGCAACGCGAAGAACCUUACCAAAUCUUGACAUCCUUUGACAACUCUAGAGAUAGAGCCUUCCCCUUCGGGGGACAAAGUGACAGGUGGUGCAUGGUUGUCGUCAGCUCGUGUCGUGAGAUGUUGGGUUAAGUCCCGCAACGAGCGCAACCCUUAAGCUUAGUUGCCAUCAUUAAGUUGGGCACUCUAAGUUGACUGCCGGUGACAAACCGGAGGAAGGUGGGGAUGACGUCAAAUCAUCAUGCCCCUUAUGAUUUGGGCUACACACGUGCUACAAUGGACAAUACAAAGGGCAGCGAAACCGCGAGGUCAAGCAAAUCCCAUAAAGUUGUUCUCAGUUCGGAUUGUAGUCUGCAACUCGACUACAUGAAGCUGGAAUCGCUAGUAAUCGUAGAUCAGCAUGCUACGGUGAAUACGUUCCCGGGUCU